RNAcentral lists this transfer RNA (57 nucleotides) under Trichuris sp. GHL-2013. RNAcentral's name for it is "tRNA-Gln". Lineage: Eukaryota; Metazoa; Nematoda; Enoplea; Trichinellida; Trichuridae. The record is from RNAcentral.
UAUGUUUUAGUAUAUGCUCUAGUACCUGGAUAUUUGGAAUCCAUAGUCCAAACAUAA